RNAcentral lists this ribosomal RNA (253 nucleotides) under Tumebacillus sp. Its description in RNAcentral is "partial 16S ribosomal RNA". It matches the Rfam family "Bacterial small subunit ribosomal RNA", at positions 524 to 776 of the family's 1533-position model. The record is from RNAcentral. RNAcentral also lists the same sequence under 1 other name. Lineage: Bacteria; Bacillati; Bacillota; Bacilli; Caryophanales; Alicyclobacillaceae.
UACGUAGGGGGCAAGCGUUGUCCGGAAUCACUGGGCGUAAAGCGCGCGCAGGCGGCGAUCUACGUCUGGGGUGAAAGCCCGGAGCUCAACUCCGGGACUGCCUUGGAUACGGGAUCGCUUGAGGAUUGGAGAGGCAAGGGGAAUUCCACGUGUAGCGGUGAAAUGCGUAGAGAUGUGGAGGAACACCUGUGGCGAAGGCGCCUUGCUGGCCAAUUUCUGACGCUGAGGCGCGAAAGCGUGGGGAGCAAACAGG